GUUUUUGUGCCCUGGAUUCAACAAGAACAUGCUGGAAAGCCCAAAUAUUACAAACAACAAGAUGACUUUUGCUGCAGGGCUUGCAGUUUUCCGUUUCCAAGAUCCAGUGCAAUCACAAACAAGGGAGUCGCACAAUGAUUGGCUAAACAUGAGUGAUGUUAAAAUUGCCCACCAGAUUACAUUUCUGGCAUGGAUCCGUUGCUUACUGAUCGAAAUCAUUAUUACACUUCAUAGACUAAGAGGGACAGUGGCCCGCCAGACAUCUGCAUCUGAAGUUGCAGGAUGGAAUCCUACUGCAUUCCACCCCACUUUCAGCACUGGGUGCACCAAACUGGAAUCUGCCUAAUAUUACAUUCAAAUAAGGGCCAGUAAAAGCUGUCGAACAAAAGAAAUUAAAAGCUGAAAUCUAAGCUUCAAA
Molecule: long non-coding RNA, 418 nt
Organism: Xenopus tropicalis (tropical clawed frog)
Lineage: Eukaryota; Metazoa; Chordata; Amphibia; Anura; Pipidae
Exons: 2
Source: RefSeq, a predicted model, not a curated record